This 910-nucleotide ribosomal RNA is filed under the name uncultured bacterium. RNAcentral's name for it is "bacterial SSU rRNA". It matches the Rfam family "Bacterial small subunit ribosomal RNA", at positions 8 to 917 of the family's 1533-position model. The record is from RNAcentral.
AGAGUUUGAUCCUGGCUCAGAAUCAACGCUGGCGGCGUGCCUAACACAUGCAAGUCGCACGAGAAAGCGGGGGCAACCCUGCAAGUAAAGUGGCAGACGGGUGAGUAACACGUGAACAACCUGCCCUCGAGUGGGGAAUAACCCCGCGAAAGCGGGGCUAAUACCGCAUAACAUCUUCGGGUCGCAUGGCCUGGAGAUCAAGGGCUUCGGUCGCUUGAGGAGGGGUUCGCGGCUGAUUAGCUAGUUGGCGGGGUAACGGCCCACCAAGGCAACGAUCAGUAGCCGGCCUGAGAGGGCGAACGGCCACACUGGAACUGAGACACGGUCCAGACUCCUACGGGAGGCAUCAGUGGGGAAUUUUGCGCAAUGGGCGAAAGCCUGACGCAGCAACGCCGCGUGGAGGAUGAAGGUCUUCGGAUCGUAAACUCCUGUCAGUGGGGACGAAAGCUCCGCAAGGGGUCUGACUGUACCCGCUGAGGAAGCCACGGCUAACUCCGUGCCAGCAGCCGCGGUAAUACGGAGGUGGCAAGCGUUGUUCGGAAUUACUGGGCGUAAAGGGCGCGUAGGCGGCAUGGCAAGUCAGAUGUGAAAGCCCCGGGCUUAACUCGGGAAUUGCAUCUGAAACUGCUUUGCUUGAGUCCCGGAGGGGGUAGUGGAAUUCCCAGUGUAGCGGUGAAAUGCGUAGAUAUUGGGAGGAACACCUGUGGCGAAGGCGGCUACCUGGACGGUGACUGACGCUGAGGCGCGAAAGCUAGGGGAGCAAACGGGAUUAGAUACCCCGGUAGUCCUAGCCGUAAACGAUGAGCACUUGGUGUCGGGGGUAUUGAGUCCCCCGGUGCCGGAGUAAACACGUUAAGUGCUCCGCCUGGGGAGUACGGUCGCAAGACUGAAACUCAAAGGAAUUGACGGA